RNAcentral lists this ribosomal RNA (247 nucleotides) under uncultured bacterium. Its description in RNAcentral is "partial 16S ribosomal RNA". It matches the Rfam family "Bacterial small subunit ribosomal RNA", at positions 524 to 776 of the family's 1533-position model. The record is from RNAcentral.
GACGAGGAGGACAAGCGUUAUUCGGUAUAACUAGGCGUAAAGAGCUUUAAGGCGGUAGAAGAAGGGACUCGUGAAAGCUCGAUUGAUCAUCGAAAAGCGAGAUCCCACAAAACUAGAGUCGACUCAAAGAGAAGGGAAUUUCCAAAGUAGUGAUAAAAUACGUUGAGAUUGGAAGGAAGACCGAAGGCGAAGGCACUUCUCUAUAGGAGACUGACGCUGAAAGGCGAAAGUCUGGGUAGCAAAUGGG